This 1261-nucleotide ribosomal RNA is filed under the name Cellulomonadaceae str. Wa. RNAcentral describes it as "bacterial SSU rRNA". It matches the Rfam family "Bacterial small subunit ribosomal RNA", at positions 113 to 1390 of the family's 1533-position model. The record is from RNAcentral. Lineage: Bacteria; Bacillati; Actinomycetota; Actinomycetes; Micrococcales; Cellulomonadaceae.
ACACGUGAGUUACCUGCCCCUGACUCUGGGAUAACUACCGGAAACGUGGCUAAUACCGGAUAUGAGGCGCCUGGGCAUCUGGGCGCCUGGAAAGUUUUUCGGUCAGGGAUGGGCUCGCGGCCUAUCAGCUUGUUGGUGGGGUGAUGGCCUACCAAGGCGACGACGGGUAGCCGGCCUGAGAGGGCGACCGGCCACACUGGGACUGAGACACGGCCCAGACUCCUACGGGAGGCAGCAGUGGGGAAUAUUGCACAAUGGGCGCAACUGAAUGCAGCGACGCCGCGUGCGGGAUGACGGCCUUCGGGUUGUAAACCGCUUUCAGCAGGGAAGAAGCGAAAGUGACGGUACCUGCAGAAGAAGCGCCGGCUAACUACGUGCCAGCAGCCGCGGUAAUACGUAGGGCGCAACGUUGUCCGGAAUUAUUGGGCGUAAAGAGCUCGUAGGCGGUUUGUCGCGUCUGCUGUGAAAUCCUCAGGCUCAACCUGGGGCUUGCAGUGGGUACGGGCAGACUAGAGUGCGGUAGGGGUGACUGGAAUUCCUGGUGUAGCGGUGGAAUGCGCAGAUAUCAGGAGGAACACCGAUGGCGAAGGCAGGUCACUGGGCCGCAACUGACGCUGAGGAGCGAAAGCAUGGGGAGCGAACAGGAUUAGAUACCCUGGUAGUCCAUGCCGUAAACGUUGGGCACUAGGUGUGGGGUCCAUUCCACGGAUUCCGUGCCGCAGCAAACGCAUUAAGUGCCCCGCCUGGGGAGUACGGCCGCAAGGCUAAAACUCAAAGAAAUUGACGGGGGCCCGCACAAGCGCGCGGAGCAUGCGGAUUAAUUCGAUGCAACGCGAAGAACCUUACCAAGGCUUAACAUACACCGGAAAAGUGCAGAGAUGUGCUCCCCGUAAGGUCGGUGUACAGGUGGUGCAUGGUUGUCGUCAGCUCGUGUCGUGAGAUGUUGGGUUAAGUCCCGCAACGAGCGCAACCCUCGUCCCAUGUUGCCAGCGGGUUAUGCCGGGGACUCAUGGGAGACUGCCGGGGUCAACUCGGAGGAAGGUGGGGAUGACGUCAAAUCAAUCAUGCCCCUUAUGUCUUGGGCUUCACGCAUGCUACAAUGGCCGGUACAAAGGGCUGCGAUACCGUGAGGUGGAGCGAAUCCCAAAAAGCCGGUCUCAGUUCGGAUCGGGGUCUGCAACUCGACCCCGUGAAGUCGGAGUCGCUAGUAAUCGCAGAUCAGCAACGCUGCGGUGAAUACGUUCCCGGGCCUUGUACACAC